Molecule: ribosomal RNA, 1510 nt
Filed under: uncultured prokaryote
Description: partial 16S ribosomal RNA
Rfam family: Bacterial small subunit ribosomal RNA
Source: RNAcentral
AAGAGUUUGAUCAUGGCUCAGAUUGAACGCUGGCGGCAUGCUUAAUACAUGCAAGUCGAACGGUAACAGGUUCUUCGGAAUGCUGACGAGUGGCGGACGGGUGAGUAAUGCAUAGGAAUCUGCCCAUGUAGUGGGGGAUAACUUGGGGAAACUCAAGCUAAUACCGCAUAAUUCCUGGAGAAAGAGGGCCUAUACUUGUAAGCUCUUGCUAUUGGAUGAGCCUAUGUCGGAUUAGUUAGUUGGUGAGGUAAUGGCUUACCAAGACUACAAUCCGUAGCUGGUUUGAGAGGAUGAUCAGCCACACUGGGACUGAGACACGGCCCAGACUCCUACGGGAGGCAGCAGUAGGGAGUAUUGGACAAUGGGCGCAAGCCUGAUCCAGCAAUGCCGCGUGUGUGAAGAAGGCCUGCGGGUUGUAAAGCACUUUUGUUUGGGAGGAAAAGCUUAAGGUUAAUACCUUUUAGUUUUGACGUUACCAACAGAAGAAGCACCGGCUAACUCUGUGCCAGCAGCCGCGGUAAUACAGAGGGUGCGAGCGUUAAUCGGAAUUACUGGGCGUAAAGCGUGCGUAGGCGGCCCAGUCAGUCGGAUGUGAAAGCCCAAGGCUUAACCUUGGAACAGCAUUCGAUACUGCUUGGCUAGAGUACAGUAGAGGGAAGCGGAAUUCCAUGUGUAGCGGUGAAAUGCGUAGAUAUAUGGAGGAACACCAGUGGCGAAGGCGGCUUCUUGGGCUGAUACUGACGCUGAGGUACGAAAGCGUGGGGAGCAAACAGGAUUAGAUACCCUGGUAGUCCACGCCCUAAACGAUGAGAACUAGAUGUUGGGGGAGUUUUGUCCCUUAGUAUCGUAGUUAACGCGAUAAGUUCUCCGCCUGGGGAGUACGACCGCAAGGUUAAAACUCAAAUGAAUUGACGGGGGCCCGCACAAGCGGUGGAGCAUGUGGUUUAAUUCGAUGCAACGCGAAGAACCUUACCUGGAUUUGACAUCCUCGGAACUUUCCAGAGAUGGAUUAGUGCCUUCGGUAUCCAAGAGACAGGUGCUGCAUGGCUUUCGUCAGCUCGUGUCGUGAGAUGUUGGGUUAAGUCCCGCAACGAGCGCCACCCCUCUCUCUAGUUGCCAGCGAUUCGGUCGGGGGACUCUAAGGAGACUGCCGGUGUUAAGCCGGAGGAAGGUGGGGAUGACGUCAAGUCCUCAUGGCCUUUAUAUCCAGGGCUACACACGUGCUACAAUGGAUAAUACAGAGGGUUGCGAACCCGUAAGGAGGAGCUAAUCUCAGAAAAUUAUUCGUAGUCCGGAUUGGAGUCUGCAACUCGACUCCAUGAAGUCGGAAUCGCUAGUAAUCGCGAAUCAGCAUGUCGCGGUGAAUACGUUCCCGGGCCUUGUACACACCGCCCGUCACACCAUGGGAGUGGGUUUGUACCAGAAGUAGGUAGUCUAACCGCAAGGAGGACGCUUACCACGGUAUGGUUCAUGACUGGGGUGAAGUCGUAACAAGGUAGCCAAGGGCGAA